RNAcentral lists this ribosomal RNA (541 nucleotides) under Chondrocera laticornis. Its description in RNAcentral is "partial large subunit ribosomal RNA". It matches the Rfam family "Eukaryotic large subunit ribosomal RNA", at positions 1575 to 2085 of the family's 3401-position model. Lineage: Eukaryota; Metazoa; Arthropoda; Insecta; Hemiptera; Coreidae. The record is from RNAcentral.
CGAGAUGGCACCGUCUGGGCGAAAGGGAGUCCGGUUCCUAUUCCGGAACCCGGCAGCGGAACCGCUCCAAUUCGGGCCCUCAUCCGAGGACUCGUCGGGGUGACCCGAAAUGACCCGGAGAAGCCGUAGGGAGGUCCGGGGAGAGUUGUCUCUUCUCUAUAAGCGUUCGAGUUCCCUGGAAGCCUCUAGGAGGGAGAUAGGGUUUGGAACGCGAAGAGCACCGCACUUACGGCGGUGUCCGGAUCUUCCCCUCGGACCUUGAAAAUCCGGGCGAGGGCCACGAGGAACACCGCGCCGGCUCGUACCCAUAUCCGCAGCAGGUCUCCAAGGUGAAUAGCCUCUAGUCGAUAGAAUAAUGUAGGUAAGGGAAGUCGGCAAACCCGAUCUGUAACUUCGGGAUAAGGAUUGGCUCUGAGGAUCGUGGCGCGCCGGGCUUGGUCGGGAAGUGGAGCGGUGCCAACGUGCCGGGCCUGGGCGAGGUGAAGGGCGCUCGUCGUCCGGAUCUAGCUCGGUCCCGUGCCUUGGCCACCCACGGACCUUC